RNAcentral lists this ribosomal RNA (453 nucleotides) under uncultured Porphyromonadaceae bacterium. RNAcentral describes it as "partial 16S ribosomal RNA". It matches the Rfam family "Bacterial small subunit ribosomal RNA", at positions 341 to 792 of the family's 1533-position model. The record is from RNAcentral. Lineage: Bacteria; Pseudomonadati; Bacteroidota; Bacteroidia; Bacteroidales; Porphyromonadaceae.
ACGGGAGGCAGCAGUGAGGAAUAUUGGUCAAUGGUCGGAAGACUGAACCAGCCAUGCCGCGUGAAGGUUACGGUCCUAUGGAUUUUAAACUUCUUUUGACGCAGAGCAAUAAGGUCUACGUGUAGAUCGAUGAGAGUAUGCGUUGAAUAAGCAUCGGCUAACUCCGUGCCAGCAGCCGCGGUAAUACGGAGGAUGCAAGCGUUAUCCGGAUUUAUUGGGUUUAAAGGGUGCGUAGGCGGUUGGGUAAGUCAGCGGUGAAAUGUAUAUGCUUAACAUAUAACGUGCCGUUGAUACUGUCCGACUUGAAUGCGGAUGCCGUGGGAGGAAUGUGUGGUGUAGCGGUGAAAUGCAUAGAUAUCACACAGAACACCGAUUGCGAAGGCAUCUCACGAAUCCGCUAUUGACGCUGAGGCACGAAAGUGUGGGGAUCAAACAGGAUUAGAUACCCUGGUA